CACAUUUCGAGUGGCAAGGUGAUAGAUGCCCUGGCCAGUCCUCUCCUGCGGAUGACACACCUGAGGCCCAGAGAGGGACAACUGCUGACUCUGGACCACGCUGGACCUCUUUGACCCUGAGCCUCCUGCCUGUUUUAGAAGGACCCUCGUGAAUGAGCCCACGUGGAUAGUGUCCCCAUGUCGAGACUCAUCUGCAAAGUCCAUUCGGGGCCAUGGAAAGGGUUCAGUGUUACCAUAUAAAUCCAACGAAAGGAUUUGAAAGGAAAGGCCAUGCUGGAAGAUAAGGCCAAAGGAUCCAAUAUUAAAACCCUGCAGUGUCGCACGAUGACC
This is a long non-coding RNA of Pteropus alecto (black flying fox), 330 nucleotides long. RefSeq lists it as uncharacterized. The record is from RefSeq and is a predicted model, not a curated record. The transcript has 3 exons. NCBI's taxonomy places the organism in Eukaryota, Metazoa, Chordata, Mammalia, Chiroptera, Pteropodidae.